This 397-nucleotide ribosomal RNA is filed under the name uncultured bacterium. Its description in RNAcentral is "partial 16S ribosomal RNA". It matches the Rfam family "Bacterial small subunit ribosomal RNA", at positions 523 to 918 of the family's 1533-position model. The record is from RNAcentral.
AUACGUAGGUGACAAGCGUUAUCCGGAUUUACUGGGCGUAAAGGGCGUGUAGGCGGUCUUGCAAGUCAGAAGUGAAAUUCCUGAGCUCAACUCGGGCGCUGCUUCUGAAACUGCAGGACUUGAGUGCUGGAGGGGAUAGCGGAAUUCCUAGUGGAGCGGUAAAAUGCGCAGAUAUUAGGAAGAACACCGGUGGCGAAGGCGGCUAUCUGGACAGUAACUGACGCUGAGGCGCGAAAGCGUGGGGAGCAAACAGGAUGAGAUGCCCUGGUAGUCCACGCCGUAAACGAUGAAUACUAGGUGUAGGGGGUAUCGACUCCCUCUGUGCCGCAGUUAACACAAUAAGUAUUCCGCCUGGGGAGUACGGCCGCAAGGUUGAAACUCAAAUGAAUUGACGGGG